CUUAUUAUUUCUGCUUUCUUCUUCUUCAUUUUUUUUCUACUUCUGUUCUUCUACUUCACGCUGGAGCAGACCCACCGAGUGAGAGAGUGACAUCGAGAGAUUGAGGGAGAGAGAGAGAGCAAAGACGAGAUGAGACAGAGGCAGAGAGGGAGAGGCUGAGAUCGGGAGAGAGGGAAACAGAGAUGGAAACUGAACCCAGAAACCAGGGGACGCCGGCGACUCGAUUUCCGGCCGAUGCUACCGGUGGGUCGACUCCGGUGGUGCCUAGGACGCGGAACCUGACGAACCCAGGAGCUUGCGACCCGCGACCCGCCAAACCCGCAACCCGAUCCUCUGAAGCCGUGAACCAUUGAACCCGAGUGAGACCCGGUUCUCCAUGACGGUUUUUCGGCGAUGUCCGGCGGUCCCUGUAGCGGUUUCCGGUGAACCGUUACCCGUGUGCAGCAACCCAGCCGAACCCCGAAGCCCCGUGACCCAGAACCCGACCCCGUGACCCGAAGACCCAAGAGGAAGACCCGGUUCUUCUUGUGCAAUUCCGGCGAAUUUCCGGCGACUACCAGCAGCUUUUCAGGUGGAAUUUCUGAUUUAAAUCCUCAAGGUAAAAGCUCGACUCCGAGGCUAACGGCUAGUCCAGAUGGCAACAGUAAGACGAAGUCUUUUCCUAGUAAGGGCGUAGACCUCGCUAAGAGCAAUAGUUCGUGAUGAACCGGCCAAACCUUAGUUUUGUAUAGUAUGUUUUGUUCUUUUUUGGAGUUAAUGAUCUUGUAAAGUAUUAUUAAUAGAAAGUUUUAAUAAAAUAGGAGAUUUAAAUUUACA
Alnus glutinosa is the source of this 816-nucleotide long non-coding RNA. RefSeq lists it as uncharacterized. Lineage: Eukaryota; Viridiplantae; Streptophyta; Magnoliopsida; Fagales; Betulaceae. The record is from RefSeq and is a predicted model, not a curated record. The transcript is spliced from 3 exons.